CGACCGGCGCACGGGUGCGUAACGCGUAUGCAACCUACCUUUAACAGGGGAUAACACUGAGAAAUUGGUACUAAUACCCCAUAAUAUCAUAGAAGGCAUCUUUUAUGGUUGGAAAUUCCGAUGGUUAGAGAUGGGCAUGCGUUGUAUUAGCUAGUUGGUGGGGUAACGGCUCACCAAGGCGACGAUACAUAGGGGGACUGAGAGGUUAACCCCCCACACUGGUACUGAGACACGGACCAG
RNAcentral lists this ribosomal RNA (240 nucleotides) under uncultured bacterium. RNAcentral's name for it is "partial 16S ribosomal RNA". It matches the Rfam family "Bacterial small subunit ribosomal RNA", at positions 92 to 334 of the family's 1533-position model. The record is from RNAcentral.